UAUGUUUGGUUGUGUGCUCACUUUACUUUGCAACUAGUGCUGAGCUAUGUCUGCUCCAUCUAUUAUCUUUUAUUUUGAAGUCAAGAAGUGGUCUAUCUGAGCAGGUUUUUUUUUCAUUUGGAAUUAAAAUUGAAUGCAGCCGUAAAACAGGCAGGGCCAACACGUACACGUAUACAAAAUUUGGUGAAAAGAGUGGUGUUGGCUACGUUUACCUCACAUUCCAGAAGAUGUUUGAGAGAAAUGCUCCAAUUUAUUUCCCGUUUGGUUCUGUGAAGUCAAGAAAUACGGAAGGGCUUUAAAGGCUUUCUGAAGGUCAAGUAAUCAAGAUUUGAUGAAUGCAUCGACUACAGUCAAAUGAAAUAAAAAUUGCAAUGGAUACUUGAC
Long non-coding RNA from Daphnia pulex (common water flea), 384 nucleotides. RefSeq lists it as uncharacterized. The transcript has 3 exons. Lineage: Eukaryota; Metazoa; Arthropoda; Branchiopoda; Diplostraca; Daphniidae. The record is from RefSeq and is a predicted model, not a curated record.